CAGUCGAACGAAGCACUUAUCUUUGAUUCUUCGGAUGAAGAGAUUUGUGACUGAGUGGCGGACGGGUGAGUAACGCGUGGGUAACCUGCCUCAUACAGGGGGAUAACAGUUAGAAAUGACUGCUAAUACCGCAUAAGACCACGGAGCCGCAUGGCUCAGUGGGAAAAACUCCGGUGGUAUGAGAUGGACCCGCGUCUGAUUAGGUAGUUGGUGGGGUAACGGCCUACCAAGCCAACGAUCAGUAGCCGACCUGAGAGGGUGACCGGCCACAUUGGGACUGAGACACGGCCCAAACUCCUACGGGAGGCAGCAGUGGGGAAUAUUGCACAAUGGGGGAAACCCUGAUGCAGCGACGCCGCGUGAGCGAAGAAGUAUUUCGGUAUGUAAAGCUCUAUCAGCAGGGAAGAAAAUGACGGUACCUGACUAAGAAGCACCGGCUAAAUACGUGCCAGCAGCCGCGGUAAUACGUAUGGUGCAAGCGUUAUCCGGAUUUACUGGGUGUAAAGGGAGCGUAGACGGCUGUGUAAGUCUGAAGUGAAAGCCCGGGGCUCAACCCCGGGACUGCUUUGGAAACUAUGCAGCUAGAGUGUCGGAGAGGUAAGUGGAAUUCCCAGUGUAGCGGUGAAAUGCGUAGAUAUUGGGAGGAACACCAGUGGCGAAGGCGGCUUACUGGACGAUGACUGACGUUGAGGCUCGAAAGCGUGGGGAGCAAACAGGAUUAGAUACCCUGGUAGUCCACGCCGUANACGAUGACUACUAGGUGUCGGGGAGNAAAGCUCUUCGGUGCCGCAGCAAACGCAAUAAGU
This 806-nucleotide ribosomal RNA is filed under the name uncultured bacterium. RNAcentral's name for it is "bacterial SSU rRNA". It matches the Rfam family "Bacterial small subunit ribosomal RNA", at positions 59 to 865 of the family's 1533-position model. The record is from RNAcentral.